This 458-nucleotide ribosomal RNA is filed under the name uncultured bacterium. RNAcentral's name for it is "bacterial SSU rRNA". It matches the Rfam family "Bacterial small subunit ribosomal RNA", at positions 8 to 477 of the family's 1533-position model. The record is from RNAcentral.
AGAGUUUGAUCAUGGCUCAGAGUGAACGCUGGCGGCGUGCCUAACACAUGCAAGUCGAACGAGAACGGAUUACAGCUUGCUGUAAUUGUCAGCUAAGUGGCGCACGGGUGAGUAAUAUAUAGUUAAUCUGCCCCAAAGAAGAGAAUAAUUGUUGGAAACGACUUGUAAUGCUCUAUAUGCCUUUAUCACAUAAGUGAGCAAGGGAAAUAUUUAUAGCUUUGGGAUGAGACUGUACGGUAUCAGCUAGUUGGUGAGGUAAUGGCUCACCAAGGCUAUGACAUCUAACUGGUUUGAGAGGAUGAUCAGUCACACUGGAACUGAGACACGGUCCAGACUCCUACGGGAGGCAGCAGUGGGGAAUAUUGCACAAUGGAGGGAACUCUGAUGCAGCAACGCCGCGUGGAGGAUGACACAUUUCGGUGCGUAAACUCCUUUUAUAUGAGAAGAUAAUGACGGUA